GUGAAGAGUCUAAAGGAUCUUGGACUCUAAAGGAUCAAUUCACACCAAAAGGAAACAUGGGCACUCCCACAUAUUUUUCCAUGAUAAAAUUGAUUUCUUUCUGAUUUCCCAUUUCCCAUAUCACUUUAUUUGUCACACAAAAUCAAGAGGAUAAAGGGUGUGACGUGUGGACUUAUAGAUAAGGUCAAACCUUAUCUAAUAUGGUAUCCAAUUUCAAAUCAGAUUUGAACAUACCAUUUAAAAUUUAAUCUUACCCAAAUUUGGAUGUGAGAUAGAGAAGGGAAAGAACUAUUUGGCAUGAAAAAGUCUCACACAAAAACUAUUUGUACAUGAAGAAAAGUGGCAUCAAAAAUUAUGGCAC
This 361-nucleotide long non-coding RNA is filed under the name Elaeis guineensis (African oil palm). RNAcentral's name for it is "long non-coding RNA (EGUI_LNC051760)". The record is from RNAcentral. Lineage: Eukaryota; Viridiplantae; Streptophyta; Magnoliopsida; Arecales; Arecaceae.